GAUCAUGGCCCAGGAUGAACGCUAGCGACAGGCUUAACACAUGCAAGUCGAGGGGCAGCAUAGAAGUAGCAAUACUUUGGUGGCGACCGGCGCACGGGUGAGUAACGCGUAUGCAACCUACCUAUCAGAGGGGAAUAACCCGGCGAAAGUCGGACUAAUACCGCAUAAAACAGGGGCACCGCAUGGUGAUAUUUGUUAAAGAAAUUCGCUGAUAGAUGGGCAUGCGUUCCAUUAGGUAGUUGGUGAGGUAACGGCUCACCAAGCCGACGAUGGAUAGGGGAACUGAGAGGUUGGUCCCCCACACUGGUACUGAGACACGGACCAGACUCCUACGGGAGGCAGCAGUGAGGAAUAUUGGUCAAUGGGCGGGAGCCUGAACCAGCCAAGUCGCCGUGAAGGAAGAAGGAUCUAUGGUUCGUAAACUUCUUUUGCAGGGGAAUAAAGUGCAGGACGUGUCCUGUUUUGUAUGUACCCUGAGAAUAAGGAUCGGCUAACUCCGUGCCAGCCGCGGC
RNAcentral lists this ribosomal RNA (512 nucleotides) under uncultured bacterium. RNAcentral describes it as "bacterial SSU rRNA". It matches the Rfam family "Bacterial small subunit ribosomal RNA", at positions 15 to 518 of the family's 1533-position model. The record is from RNAcentral.